AGGACGAACGCUGGCGGCGUGCUUAACACAUGCAAGUCGAGCGGAAAGGCCCUUCGGGGUACUCGAGCGGCGAACGGGUGAGUAACACGUGGGCAACCUGCCCUUAGCUCUGGGAUAGCUCCGGGAAACCGGAAUUAAUACCGGAUAUGACCUAGGCCGACAUCGGCCGUGGUGGAAAGUUUUUCGGCUAGGGAUGGACUCGCGGCCUAUCAGCUAGUUGGUGGGGUAAUGGCCUACCAAGGCGACGACGGGUAGCCGGCCUGAGAGGGCGACCGGCCACACUGGGACUGAGACACGGCCCAGACUCCUACGGGAGGCAGCAGUGGGGAAUCUUGCGCAAUGGGCGAAAGCCUGACGCAGCGACGCCGCGUGGGGAUGAAGGCCUUCGGGUUGUAAACCCCUUUCAGCAGGGACGAAGCGAAAGUGACGGUACCUGCAGAAGAAGCGCCGGCUAACUACGUGCCAGCAGCCGC
RNAcentral lists this ribosomal RNA (473 nucleotides) under uncultured bacterium. RNAcentral's name for it is "SSU rRNA". It matches the Rfam family "Bacterial small subunit ribosomal RNA", at positions 26 to 518 of the family's 1533-position model. The record is from RNAcentral.